CGGGAGGAGCGGAUGGCCGCUUCCCCUCAAAGCCUCGAGAGAGGAAGAAAGGGGAAGAGGAAAGUCCGAGCUCCAGAAGGCAGGGUGGUCCGUAACACGGACUGUCCCGAUAACGAGGUGCGAUAGCCCUGAUGGGCGUCGCCCCGUUUGACGGGAUAAGGAAAGUGCCACAGAAAACAUACCGUCCCGCAGUCCGCGGGAUAAGGGUGAAAAGGCGAGGUAAGAGCUCACCAGUACUCCGAGCGAUCGGAAUAGCUUGGCAAACCCCACCCGGAGCAAGACCAAAUAGGUCCCGCUUCCCGCCUCGAGCGGGAGGAGAAUCGCCUGUUCAACUUUCUCCCUUCGGGAGGAAGGCGGGACGGGUCAGGUCGCUUGAGACCCUGAGCAAUCAGGGCCCUCAGAUAAAUGGCCAUCGUCCCAAACCCAGGGAUACAGAACUCGGCUUAUAGCUCGCUUCCGGAUU
This 463-nucleotide RNase P RNA is filed under the name Deltaproteobacteria bacterium. RNAcentral's name for it is "RNase P RNA component class A". It matches the Rfam family "Bacterial RNase P class A". Rfam says of the family: Ribonuclease P (RNase P) is a ubiquitous endoribonuclease, found in archaea, bacteria and eukarya as well as chloroplasts and mitochondria. Its best characterised activity is the generation of mature 5'-ends of tRNAs by cleaving the 5'-leader elements of precursor-tRNAs. Lineage: Bacteria; Pseudomonadati; Myxococcota; Myxococcia. The record is from RNAcentral.